UUGGUUGAAACUAAUGAUUUGAAAGUUAUGAGGGAGUGGGAGAAUCCAAGGAUGUGCAAACAUUUUACUACUUCAUUGAGUCAAAUAACAACCCUAAGGAAGAUCCUCUCCUGCUUUGGCUAUCCGGUGGCACUGGUUGCUCAUCCCUAACUCGCCUUUUUCUUGAAAUAGGUGCGGGACAGAAUUGCUCCAGGUUUACCUUCACAAUUUCAUUCACCUUAUUCAAUUCCAACCUUCGUACCCUGUCCUUUACUUAUUCUCAAUGGUGCGAAAGAUCCCCUGGAAAUNCCAAGAGCAAAGGCANGCCUGGUAUACAGAAAGUUUCACUGUUUAGAUAAUUUCAAGGUAUGAACCUG
Long non-coding RNA from Vigna radiata var. radiata (mung bean), 356 nucleotides. RefSeq lists it as uncharacterized. The record is from RefSeq and is a predicted model, not a curated record. NCBI's taxonomy places the organism in Eukaryota, Viridiplantae, Streptophyta, Magnoliopsida, Fabales, Fabaceae. The transcript is spliced from 3 exons.